This 466-nucleotide ribosomal RNA is filed under the name uncultured bacterium. RNAcentral's name for it is "partial 16S ribosomal RNA". It matches the Rfam family "Bacterial small subunit ribosomal RNA", at positions 28 to 506 of the family's 1533-position model. The record is from RNAcentral.
GACGAACGCUGGCGGCGUGCUUAACACAUGCAAGUCGAACGGAAAGGCCUCUUUCGGGGGGUACUCGAGUGGCGAACGGGUGAGUAACACGUGAGUAACCUGCCCUUGACUUUGGGAUAACUUCAGGAAACUGGGGCUAAUACCGGAUAGGAGCUCCUGCUGCAUGGUGGGGGUUGGAAAGUUUCGGCGGUUGGGGAUGGACUCGCGGCUUAUCAGCUUGUUGGUGGGGUAGUGGCUUACCAAGGCUUUGACGGGUAGCCGGCCUGAGAGGGUGACCGGCCACAUUGGGACUGAGAUACGGCCCAGACUCCUACGGGAGGCAGCAGUGGGGAAUAUUGCACAAUGGGUGGAAGCCUGAUGCAGCAACGCCGUGUGCGGGAUGACGGCCUUCGGGUCGUAAACCGCUUUCGCUCAUGACGAAGCUUUGUGUGACGGUAGUGGGUAAAGAAGCACCGGCUAACUACGU